UACGUAGGGUGCGAGCGUUAAUCGGAAUUACUGGGCGUAAAGCGUGCGCAGGCGGUUUUGUAAGCCAGAUGUGAAAUCCCCGGGCUCAACCUGGGAAUGGCAUUUGGGACUGCAAGGCUCGAGUGCGGCAGAGGAGACUGGAAUUCCUGGUGUAGCAGUGAAAUGCGUAGAUAUCGGGAGGAACACCAGUGGCGAAGGCGACUUCCUGGCCUGUUCUUGACGCUGAGGCGCGAAAGCUAGGGGAGCAAACGGG
RNAcentral lists this ribosomal RNA (253 nucleotides) under uncultured bacterium. Its description in RNAcentral is "partial 16S ribosomal RNA". It matches the Rfam family "Bacterial small subunit ribosomal RNA", at positions 524 to 776 of the family's 1533-position model. The record is from RNAcentral.